This is a non-coding RNA of Ataeniobius toweri, 95 nucleotides long. The record is from the annotation of a GenBank genome assembly. Lineage: Eukaryota; Metazoa; Chordata; Actinopteri; Cyprinodontiformes; Goodeidae.
GCCGGCGCUGGUAGUGUAGGGGUUAAGCGCAUGACCAUUUAUAGAGGCUAUAGUCCUCGAUGCAGUUGUCCCGGGUUUGAGUCCCGGACCUGGCG